Molecule: long non-coding RNA, 1759 nt
Organism: Cucurbita moschata (crookneck pumpkin)
Lineage: Eukaryota; Viridiplantae; Streptophyta; Magnoliopsida; Cucurbitales; Cucurbitaceae
Exons: 4
Source: RefSeq, a predicted model, not a curated record
AUAAUAAUAAUUCAAGGUUGUGAUAAGGUAGAAAGAAGAUUGAUGAUGAUAAUUGGGAUACCAAUGAAGGUGACACCAAAAGGGGGAGAAAAAGGGAAGAAAAUAAAGAAAGCAUAGUGGGGUUUAAUUUUUUUCGAGGGAGCGUCUGUGGGUAUCAUUUAGUUAUUCUUUUUAUUCUUUUUUAUUUUUUUAUUUAUUUUUGGGAUAUUUAAAAUGGUGUAAUGUCAGACUUGCCCUCAAGUGGACACAAAAAGGGUCUUCUUUAUAAUCAUCACUAUUUAUUUAUCUUCCUUGCUUUCAUCAUCGUCAUCAUCUACUUCUCUGGUUUAAUUAUUUUCCUCUUCUAAUUUUUAUUUUUUAUUUUUUUAAUUUUGAAAAUUUUCAAAAAUAAAAUAGCUUCUGCCUAAUUAAAUUAAUUUCUUCAUUCAUUUUGUCAAAGUGGAUGGGCUGAAUUUGAACCAUCUGCCUAUAAAUAUGGAUGUGGGUAAUUUAGUGGGCUUUUUUGGGCCUGGGUCACUUUCCAGAUCAUAUAUUGGAGGCCCAAAUUGGUUGGGCUUAGGCCCAACGGACAUUAUAUUGGGCUUUUCAAAAUUAGGGCUUAGGUUAUGGGGCGGGUGCUCUACGGUUGUGCUCUUGUCUUGGUUUCUCCCGCCAAGAUCUCAUGUUUUAACGGUCUUCUUCAUCCAACAUUUUGUCCUUUCCCUUCUCGUGUAACCUUCGUCAAUUGUAACUUAACUUUGUCCGUCGGUUACAGAAGCAAUCCGAUCGUGGCCGAGUAUGUAUGCCUAGAUCCGAUAGCGGAAUUUGUAGUAGUCGAAACCCAGAGAUUUAAGGAGUAGGUGUCGGAGAAGCUAGCGAAGGAUCGUGAGACGAUUGUGGAGGCAGAUGAUGAAGGAAAAGCUGUAUGCUUCAUCACAAAGAUUCUCCAAUACAGUGUCAAUUCCAUUGAUAUCUUUGUUGCUAUACACAUGACUUAUUUCUCUCAAUACAUGAAUCAUUCUGGGGCUGUGGUUUUACACUGAAUUGGAAAUUUGGAUGCUCAUUUUCAUGCUCUAUAUGAAUCUUCUAACUUCCACAAUGAGCAUCUUAAAUCAAGCUCCACUAUUCUGUCGUAUCAACCACACUUGCUUGUCAUGAUCAAGAACAAAGGGUUGAACAUAAAAUCAGCUGGCAGCUUCAGAAAUGCUCUGCAAUGAUGGUCUCCAAGCCUUUGGCCUCGCUGCAGUGGCGUUUGCUGCUGGUGUUCUGAUGCGAUGUCUUUCAUGUUUGACUACCUGCAAUGUUUAUUUCACAGAGAUUAUUGUCAUCUGCUGUGAUUCAAAAGGAAACAAAUCUGGUUACCUGCUGGCUAUUUUCAGUCUCAUCUCCGGCAGCCGGCUUCUCCGGCUUCCUCUCCGACUCCGGCAAUUGCUUCUUGGAUUUUGCAUACUUUUUAGCUCGCAACACCUUUAUAACCUCUGCAAAUUCCAACAAAACGUCAAAAGGGCUGAACUAAAACAGAAGGAAAUGAAAGAACUUCAAAAAGAUCAAAGAGGCACCAUACCCUGAGUAGUGACAAGCCGAUAGGCAUGGCCAAGAGCAAGAGUGUCAUUUGGCCGGAGAAGCUUGACACGGGUAAACCGCACCGUUUUAGGCUCCCGAUUAUCUUCCUCAGAUUGAGGCAAGGGAAUUAUAAGAGAAACAUAGUGACCCGGAUUAGUCCUCAUGACUUCACUCGCCACCACCGGCCAAUACAGCCUCUCAAUCCGGCCAGUUGGAU